GACGGAGGAUGCAAGCGUUAUCCGGAAUGAUUGGGCGUAAAGCGUCCGCAGGUGGCAGUUCAAGUCUGCUGUCAAAGACCGGGGCUUAACUUCGGAAAGGCAGUGGAAACUGAACAGCUAGAGUAUGGUAGGGGCAGAGGGAAUUCCUGGUGUAGCGGUGAAAUGCGUAGAGAUCAGGAAGAACAUCGGUGGCGAAGGCGGCUCUCUGGGACGGUACUGACGCUGAGACGCGAAAGCGUGGGGAGCGAACAGG
RNAcentral lists this ribosomal RNA (253 nucleotides) under uncultured bacterium. RNAcentral describes it as "partial 16S ribosomal RNA". It matches the Rfam family "Bacterial small subunit ribosomal RNA", at positions 524 to 776 of the family's 1533-position model. The record is from RNAcentral.